CCUACGGGAGGCAGCAGUGAGGAAUAUUGGUCAAUGGGCGAGAGCCUGAACCAGCCAAGUCGCGUGAAGGAUGAAGGAUCUAUGGUUUGUAAACUUCUUUUAUAUGGGAAUAAAGUGAGGAACGUGUUCCUUUUUGUAUGUACCAUAUGAAUAAGCAUCGGCUAACUCCGUGCCAGCAGCCGCGGUAAUACGGAGGAUGCGAGCGUUAUCCGGCUUUAUUGGGUUUAAAGGGUGCGUAGGUGGUUAAUUAAGUCAGCGGUGAAAGUUUGGGGCUCAACCAUAAAAUUGCCGUUGAAACUGGUUGUCUUGAGUAUAUUUGAGGUAGGCGGAAUGCGUGGUGUAGCGGUGAAAUGCAUAGAUAUCACGCAGAACUCCGAUUGCGAAGGCAGCUUACUAAACUAUAACUGACACUGAAGCACGAAAGCGUGGGGAUCAAACAGGAUUAGAUACCCCGGUAGUC
This 460-nucleotide ribosomal RNA is filed under the name uncultured bacterium. RNAcentral describes it as "partial 16S ribosomal RNA". It matches the Rfam family "Bacterial small subunit ribosomal RNA", at positions 338 to 795 of the family's 1533-position model. The record is from RNAcentral.